RNAcentral lists this ribosomal RNA (254 nucleotides) under uncultured bacterium. RNAcentral's name for it is "partial 16S ribosomal RNA". It matches the Rfam family "Bacterial small subunit ribosomal RNA", at positions 524 to 776 of the family's 1533-position model. The record is from RNAcentral.
UACGAAGGGGGGCUAGCGUUGCUCGGAAUUACUGGGCGUAAAGCGCGCGUAGGCGGCUUUGUAUGUCGAUUGUGAAAGCCCCGGGCUCAACCUGGGAACUGCAGUCGAAACUGCAAAGCUUGAAUGUUGGAGAGGUUGGGGGAAUACCUAGUGGAGAAGUGAAAUUCGUAGAGAUUAGGUGGAACACCAGAGGCGAAGGCGCCUGACUGGCCAAACAUUGACGCUGAGGCGCGAAAGCGUGGGUAGCAAACAGG